Myotis brandtii (Brandt's bat) is the source of this 413-nucleotide long non-coding RNA. RefSeq lists it as uncharacterized. The transcript has 3 exons. NCBI's taxonomy places the organism in Eukaryota, Metazoa, Chordata, Mammalia, Chiroptera, Vespertilionidae. The record is from RefSeq and is a predicted model, not a curated record.
CAGACGCGAAGAAGGCUGCAGCUCCUCACCCUGCUGCCCAAAAUCAAAAGGCUGCCUCGUUUUCCUUUUGACCAGAGACACACAGUCAAGCUCUUUUGAAUCUGGCAUCACAGAUGUUGAGACAUAUUUUUGCAGAGAAGUUUAUGAUGACAUUUAUGAGCUGUGCCUCACAGUGAUCUCUCAAGGGCCUGAAUAAUCCACCCGUAGAAUGUCCACUCACAUUGCUGACAUUUCAUUAUAAUUCUAGAGAAUUGGCUUCAAUCCUGAGGUCACACAGAGAUGAAAUUUCAAGGGGGAAAACAGCAAUGGAUUCUUUCUGCAAAACUCAUUGAUUUGUAAAAAGGGAGUCCAACAAGCAAUUUGCUCAAGAGCAGAGAAUGUGGUCUUUGCAGAAAAAUGUCUCAAGAUCACCU